Molecule: ribosomal RNA, 253 nt
Filed under: uncultured bacterium
Lineage: Bacteria
Also listed under: 1 other name
Description: partial 16S ribosomal RNA
Rfam family: Bacterial small subunit ribosomal RNA
Source: RNAcentral
UACGGAGGGGGCAAGCGUUGUUCGGAAUUACUGGGCGUAAAGCGCACGUAGGCGGCUAACCAAGUUGGGGGUGAAAGCCCAGGGCUUAACCCUGGAACUGCCUUCAAGACUGGUUGGCUAGAGGCCGAGAGAGGUAAGGGGAAUUCCUAGUGUAGAGGUGAAAUUCGUAGAUAUUAGGAAGAACACCGGUGGCGAAGGCGCCUUACUGGCUCGGAACUGACGCUGAGGUGCGAAAGCGUGGGGAUCAAACAGG